AUUAGAUUUAUGCAUAUUUUGUAUCUCCCAUUUAUUACAUUUUUUAUCUUCAAAUUUGAUAUACGAAUUCUAGAGUUCUAUGUAUUUUUUUUUUCCGAGAAAAAGAAUAACUUUUUAAAAAUCUCAGAAAUAAAUAAAGUAACAACUAGAUGAGGGAUAGAUAUGAGUAAUUUUACCUUUGGAGUUUUUAGUUGGUCAGUCUCUUGAUGUCUGUACCUACUCUUCUGAAGAGAUCUUUACUGAGGUGGUGAAAAUGUGUUAACAUUUAAGCAUUUUGUUUCCUUUAGGUUAUAUCAGUGAAAAUUAAGUUAUGUUUGUUACUAGCAGUUACUACUAUCUGUCACAUCACUGCAAACUAUUACAUUGGAAACGGACUAGGAAAAAAUAUCAAAAUCCUAAGAAAAACGCAGUUAUGUUGUCUCAGAUGGGAUUUUGCUAAAAUACACUCUAGUGUGGUACACCAUGCUUUUGUGUAUCUGGCUCUUGUACCAAACACUAAGCCAACAUGAAUAUUUUUAUAAAUUCACACGGCAGGUAAAGGAUAAGGAAGAAAAUGUACACUGGCUGCUAAAAAUCCACAAGAAAAGGGUAAGCAUAUGGUAGCAAAGUAGUAUGCGGUUUCAAAAGGAGUAUUUCAGGCAGAAGAAAUCACUUAUGCUAGGAGGUUAAGGAAGUGACUAUACUUAUGUUAGAACUGUGGAAACAUUAAAUAUGAAUGAAAUUCAGAAAUAGCUUAAGGAAAGCUAGUAACAGGCCAGAAACAAAGGAUGCAACAGAAAAGAGCUCUGGGAACAAAUAACAACAGUAACAGAAGAGACCAAGAAAGCAGCAUCUAGGAUUUGUAAAUGAGCUUUACGAAAAUAGGAAACAAAUGGUCACUGGAUUGGAAUCAGUGAGGGACAAAAACAAUACAGAGGAGUUUGGAAAAAGUUUAAGGAGUUCUAAAACCAAAAUACUGGUGUCAGCUACUCUCUAGAUUAUGAAUUUCAGAGAACCAAGACCAGAGACAAAAAGUGGAGAGCAGAAAGGACUGAGUCAGAGCAAAUGGAAAGGUGAAGAAAAAAGACUGAAAACAUUCAAUUAUACAAACAUUAACCAUUGAGAAACUUCUCUGUGGCAAAGAAAGCAUUUAGGUAUCUGAGAAAGAAGUAUGCAGUUACAAAUGAUUGAUUUUUUUAUCACAUAGAAGUUAGGAGGACAACAUUAUUGACAAAAAUUGCUCUGUAUUCUGCUGGACUGUGCAAACACAGAAGUGAACUGUGUGCUGAAAGAAGUGUGGUAAAAAUUCCAUAUAAAAAUAAAAAUUAUGGGCCAUGUCCUGUGCUUAAUUCAAGACUGAAAAGGUGAUAUUGAACCACCAGCUGGAGGUCCCAGUUUGGUCUGUUGAGGGAUCCUUAGCAGCAUCAGGGUAUUUCUUUCCUAUAUUGGCCCCCUGCUGGUCAGUACACCAGUGAAAAGAAUGAGCUACAAAAGCCAUCUGAUGACGUCUCUUCUACUAAUGAGCAAAAAGUCUAUAAUGGUCAAAUCUGAAAUGCCAUUGUUUUUAAAGGACUAGAACUACAAACUGUAUAGGGAACGCAUGGAGAGUUUUCAGUAUAGCUUACCGUACAUUGUGAAGUGCUUUUACAAGCAUUAGACUACUUACUAGGUAGGAAGUUAUGUAUCUGCCAUCAUUUUUUUUUCUGCAAGGUGGAAAUUUUUGCUUUUAACAUCCUAUAUUCAGGUCUCGUUUUACGUUUUAGGGCAGUUUCUAUCAUAAACUAUCUUAAAAUGUGUAAUAGUGUAUUUAAUCUCAACCACAAUGAAACCAGAAAGCCAAAUAAAAUGCAUAAAAUAAGUAAUUGAAAAGGACUUGUUUUUCUAAUGUAAAACAAGCUGAGUGAGUUUAAAUAGUCUAAAUAGUCAUUACAGUCUGACUGUGAUGUGUUCUUUCCUCUGCACUUGCUGCAGCAUUUCUUGUAUUAUUAUAAUGGUUUCUAGAGCAAUAAAUUACAGACACAGAACCAACUGCUGAAAAGUGUAGGCGGCUCACACAGCAUGAUGCAAAUCACACUGUUGGAUACUGCUUCUUUGUAACAACAAUUCCAUUAAAGAACACGUGAUUCUGCCCACCAUAACACGGUUUCACUACACAGUGCAGCAUUUGAUGCAGCAAGGGAACAAGGAAGUUUCCAUCACUAAGGCCCUAAUUCUGCAAACAGCUAUUUUUUUGGCUUGAACUCUGUUUGCACAUGCAGUCGUCUAGUAACUACGCACAUAUGUAAAGUAAGCAACUACAUGAUCAAAUUCUAUUACCAAAAAGCUUGAUCAUCUGACAGCUGUUCAGGUAAUGAAAGAAAAAAAUGCCCACUCCUCAAAAGAAGCACACUCAACUGCCCUUAAAGCUUCCAUACCUCAAAAACAGAAACAGGACAGGAGAGAACAGGAUGUGGCGAGAUCACAUGCUUAGCGUGUAAAGGUAAUACUGAUCCAAAAUAUCUUGCAUUUGGGAAAAGCAAUGAUUAUUUUAAUCUCCAAGAGAAGUUAAGAACAAGUCACAACCAAAAAGUAAGUAUUUGUCCUGAUUUGCAGGUCAAUUUAGGUCCUCAAAAACCAACAUAACACCAUUACUUAAAAGGUGCAAUUUGACUGAAACACAAUAUUGUAUCCUUAAAGCAUUUAAGACAUAUUGUUCUCUUCCCUGAUGACAAUGAAAAAAAUUCUAAUUAAGAUGUAAUGAGAUAAAAUUCAUGGAAAGAGGAAAUGCGAAGGAU
Molecule: long non-coding RNA, 2753 nt
Organism: Gallus gallus (chicken)
Lineage: Eukaryota; Metazoa; Chordata; Aves; Galliformes; Phasianidae
Exons: 3
Source: RefSeq, a predicted model, not a curated record